AACGCAUAUGGCACCCGAGACCUCGGUCGAGGGUAUGCCUGUCUCAGAGUCGGCGUAAAAACAUCCCCGAGGCAGAGCAGAGCAGAGCGCCUGCCUGCCGAGGGGGAGCUGGCCCUCCCGGGGGGAGAGAUCGCCCCGGGUCGGCUGAAGGAGAGAGACGGGGGACCGCACGCGCCGGACCGCCACGAUUUUGGUGGGAGGACCCAGCGUCCCGUUCAUCGAUCGUGCGUCCGAUACCGCCGCCCGCCGGCGUAGCGUGGAGGCCUUCCCCGCCCCGGACAGGAACCGAAAGCACCACUUCCGACCUGAGAUCAGGCAAGAUCACCCGCUGAACUUAA
Molecule: unclassified non-coding RNA, 338 nt
Filed under: uncultured fungus
Lineage: Eukaryota; Fungi
Description: partial contains 5.8S ribosomal RNA, internal transcribed spacer 2, and large subunit ribosomal RNA
Source: RNAcentral